Molecule: small nuclear RNA, 160 nt
Organism: Eucalyptus grandis
Lineage: Eukaryota; Viridiplantae; Streptophyta; Magnoliopsida; Myrtales; Myrtaceae
Product: U1 spliceosomal RNA
Exons: 1
Source: RefSeq, a predicted model, not a curated record
UCACUUACCUGAAUGGCGUCAAUGGGCUAUCAAGAAGGCUCGUGGCCUACAUCAUCAGCCUCCAUUGCACUUGGGAGGUGCAUCAGCCUAAGUCUACUCACUGUUGCAGAGCCUACAUCAUAAUUUGUGGCGCGGGGGCCUGAAUUCACGCGGCCCCUCC